This 65-nucleotide transfer RNA is filed under the name Themus regalis. RNAcentral describes it as "tRNA-Arg". The record is from RNAcentral. Lineage: Eukaryota; Metazoa; Arthropoda; Insecta; Coleoptera; Cantharidae.
AAAUAAGAAUCAAACAAUUGAACCUAGUUUCGACCUAGACUUAUGAUGAAUUUCAUCCUUAUUUU